GGCAAGAGUUCCCCCUGGGGAGGAAGUUGUCAAGGCUGUAGAGGAGAUGGCCAGAAAAUCCAGUGAAGCGAAGCAUAGCUGGGGCUUUUCCUCAAAUAGUGGUCAGAGAGAGGCAGUCACCAAUCAGGCUGCCUGCUGGCCCCCACUCCUGGGCGCUCACCCUAUUGGUGCCAGACUUAGUGUGGACACCCAAUCAGCUGCAGCCUGACUGCAGAACUCCCAGACUCAAGCAGCCCACCAGACUCAGCCUCCCCCAGGAACAGGGAAGAUGAGGCGAGUUGUGCUGGCCAAUCUGCAUUGGUGGAGGAUGUUUCCUCACCAGGAGCUCCUUCCCGUGGAUCCAGAGAGGGCAGAGGAGGAAGAAGUUCAUCAGUAAGCAUUCAACUCCACCACGAUGGCAUGGGAUGGGGCAGGACAGAACAGGACGUGUCAGGCAGCAGGACGUGGCCCAUCCAGGAAACAAGCCCCGUGGGGCUCCUCACGCACACUGCGGAACUCAGGAGCCUAGAGCCGGGUGAAGAGAGCCCACCCUGACAAUCACAGACAGGAUCACAGGCUCAUGUCCGGCAGACGAGGGAGGAGAGCAGUGCCCUCCCAUGGCAGAAAGCCAAGAUCUCCCCCCAUUUCCCACGCCCUACCCACUGUCCUGGACUGUCGUGUCAAGAGGCUAAAAAGAAGAGGUCAAGUUCAAGGGCUAGCUCAAGGCUGGACUUCAACUCAUCACUCCUACAAAGCUAGGAACUUAGGGGAUGCUAGAUCAAAGAGCCAAGUCAACUAGCUCCUAGGAUAGAGAUAUCACCUUGGCAAAGAGUUCACACCUUGUCUAGGAGGGAUGGUUCCUUUCCA
Long non-coding RNA from Vombatus ursinus (common wombat), 846 nucleotides. RefSeq lists it as uncharacterized. The transcript is spliced from 5 exons. Lineage: Eukaryota; Metazoa; Chordata; Mammalia; Diprotodontia; Vombatidae. The record is from RefSeq and is a predicted model, not a curated record.